Molecule: unclassified non-coding RNA, 239 nt
Filed under: fungal sp.
Lineage: Eukaryota; Fungi
Description: partial internal transcribed spacer region
Rfam family: Eukaryotic small subunit ribosomal RNA (bases 1-46)
Source: RNAcentral
AAGUCGUAACAAGGUUUCCGUAGGUGAACCUGCGGAAGGAUCAUUAACAAUAAUUCCAUUUAUUGGAUUCUACCCAUUGUGAUCGAAUUGGCUUUAUAAUUAGGGAUUAAAAAUGGCUACUCGCGAGAGUAGACGGCCCUGAAUCAUUAAAACUCGCUUUAAUCUUUGACUGAAUAAUAAUUUUAUAAUUAUCAAACGAUAAUCAAUUAAAACUUUCAACAACGGAUCUCUUGGUUCUC